This is a long non-coding RNA of Syngnathus acus (greater pipefish), 2331 nucleotides long. RefSeq lists it as uncharacterized. The record is from RefSeq and is a predicted model, not a curated record. Lineage: Eukaryota; Metazoa; Chordata; Actinopteri; Syngnathiformes; Syngnathidae. The transcript has 2 exons.
AGUAGGAGUGAAUUAUGUGGUGGUCCUCAGGCCGUAGGUUGUCUUAACAAUCAUAGUUUUGUGAUUAUCUCCACAACUCUUUGGUUGCGUAGGUAUUUUAAAUAGGGGGAUAAAUAAACGUCCAAGGAUAAUAGUCACGUUGCAUCAUACACGCGUGUCAAAGAGUUUAUCUACUAAGUUCUAGGACAGUUUUGGUAACAAAGCGUCACGUAAACAAGACGUCCACACCCUAUAACCCGGUGCGCGCCAGGCAAAUCUAAAGCCGUGCGCGUUCACGUGGCGGCGGCGGCGGCGCGCGCGCACGGCCCCCUCAUAGCAACAGCGGCGAGCAGCGAAUCGCGAGCUCAAACACUUGUCUCCAGGACCGGCUUACAGCACCGGCAACGCGUCACGGCUCGGGUGGCUGUUGCUGAGUAGUUCGGCACACUUGGACCGCCACAACCCCACCACGCCCACCCCCAAUCCGAAGCUCCCUCCACCUCCACCCAGCUGUCUGUUGACUUUGUCAGGAUGGGCUCUUUUAUUAGCGAGACCUUGUUUACAACUCGGGUUGCAUCAUUUUCAUUUGUUUAACAGUCACACAUGAUGUUUACUUCAUUCAUUAUUCUACCACGUGGCAUUCAAGUCAAAGGGACACUUGAUUAAGUACGAUCUGAUAAGAAAACAAUCUGUUUUAAGGAGUCAUUUGAUCUCACAAGCGUUGUCAGUGAAUCUUAGGAAGACAUUUUUGCAAUAUUUUGUUGACCCGCUUACAAAACCUCUAAAGUUUAACUAAAAUAAUUGGUCCAAGUCAUUUUAAAACCUUGUUUUAAGGAAUACUGCUUCAUUCCAAAAUACCACUUUGUGAGAAAACUAACAAAGUUAAACACAGUUGUGCCAAAACUCAGUUUUAAGGUCAAACGCUUGACAAAACCUUAUGUGUAAAGUUGUAACAUUCUAACAUGCCAUAAGUCCAAAAACCUUCAGGUGAUUACAGUAUAACAGAAAACCAUCUUGUGGAAAAUCAGAAGUUGAAUGAUCCGUUCCAGGAUUAAACGGUUAUAAAACAUUGUUCCAAGUAUUGUUGUGAUAGUCCAUGCAAUAAAAGUAUAAUUCUUUCGUUUGUUUGUUUGUUUGUUUGUUUGUUUGUUUUAUUUUAAGUUGACACAUUUUCAAAAUAAGUGUAGUAUUAUAUCAUUAGAAUAAAAAUAAAAUGAAAGACACUGCCAUGGACCCUCCGAAGUUGAGCGGUGUUUGAUGGGUACUGUUCUGAUCAGUUCGAGGUUUUCCUGCAUUGCAGCAGGUUUCCUGUUUCCAUCCGAGCACCACCACUGCCUCGGUCAAGACUUGCGCCACACCCAGCCAGCUCACUCCACUAUACACACACACACGCGCAUACAUAAACACACGCACACAAGGCAGCUGUCGGAAAGCAUCCCGGCUCAAACGCGAGACUGAGAGAUACAGCUGCUAAUGUGAUGAUAGAAUAAAGCUUAAAAUCUAACAUGGUCUCACAAAGUAAGAGCUGUUCUUUUCAUUUGUAUUUAUCUUGCAUGUUGGAAAGCAAGAACAUGAAAAAAUAGCAGUUUUAAAAAGAAUGAGACCGUACCAAUUUGCUUUCAAAGCAUUUUUAAAAAGUAAGUAUGGUGACCAUGAUGUACAAUUUAAUUAUUUUGGGGUUCCACAAGGUUAAAUUUUAUGGCCCCUGUUAAGAAGGCACGGCAUUUUUGAAUGUAUGUCUUUCAAAAACAUUUGAAUGUGGAUUUAUGAUAUAAUGCCAUUGUUAAUUAAUUAGAGCCUGGUAAGUGCAAAGCUUUCAUUUAGUCUUUUUUUUGGGAUUAAAGUAUAAAAUGCUUAAUUUUGCUUGCUUUUCGACAACAUGCAUUGCAUGCAUUUGAUUAGAAAAUUGUGUAAAGGUAGCAUUAAUAUUGGUUUUAAGGAGACAGUCUGAACAAUGUCGCAUUGUGAAGUGACCGAUUACUGACGCCCACUCCUCAACGAGCUUCAUUCAACGUCAUUAUCAUCAGUCUUCCUUCUCCUCAUAAACUUGACAGUAACAGUGCGGUGUUGUGAUUUAAUUGAGUGCAGAUGGUCGCUGAUGUGCACUGAGGACACGCCCUUCUUUCGCUACACCGGCUGUGGAAUAUCCCUGCUAUGCUGCCACCUACUGGUUCCCGGCAAGUAUAACAGUUGAAAGAAACGCAAACAAUACAUAAAGAGCCGAGUUCAUGUUUUAUCGAUCAUAUUCUGUGACAAUACAGUUGAAGUUUAGACAAUGGUAAAGCAGAUUAACGGUGUGUGCCUCCCAGUCGUAAUAUAAAUACAAGUGAGUGACUGAACGCAAGCAAACAA